This 752-nucleotide long non-coding RNA is filed under the name Apteryx rowi (Okarito brown kiwi). RNAcentral's name for it is "lncRNA (ENSARWG00000012320.1)". The record is from RNAcentral. Lineage: Eukaryota; Metazoa; Chordata; Aves; Apterygiformes; Apterygidae.
AAAGGUGUGAGAUGACCUUCACCCCCCUGUCCGUGCAGCCCCAAGCAUCUCUGCAGGAGACUCUGAAGAAUAGCAAUUGUCAUGUUGGAUCGACUACUCGGCAACUGGCCUGCAACGUGACCCGAGGGGCGAAGGCGAGUGGUGAGAGUGCAAAACAGCUGGCUGCAACCUGGACCGUCCCGGGAGCAGGUAAGGCUGACCAGACAUGGGUGUGUGCGGGGUCCCCUUCUCCCAGUGAGCUGCUCCCUGGUCCUACUUCAGGGUGUGGGGACGUGGCCCCUGCUGAGCAGCCUGCAGGCGACGAGCUGUCCCGGGAGCUGGAGCGCGUGAAGAGCGAGCUGGAGCGCGUGAAGAGCGAGCUGGCCGACAGAGCUGCCCAGUGCGAAGCCUAUCGGCGGACCGUCGCCUGCCUGCGGGCUCGGCUCAGAGCGGCAGGUACGUUCCCCCGCCGGCGAUGCUCUGCUGAUCCGGUGUCACCGAGCGCUGCCGGACAAGAGGGCUAAAGCGGGUGGCAGGUGCUGAAGGCAGAGGAGCAGCCGUGCUUCGAUGCUGCCGUUGUUCCCCAGGAGCGUGGCCGGAUGAUGCAGUGGGGGACGAGACCGGGGUCUCGGGGAGGGACUGACACCUGGCACGUGGGGACAGCCGCGCCGCAGCGGCUUGUCCAGGCGCCUGAGCAAGCUGCUGUGGGCCAGUGACAGUUGUGGAGCUGCUGCAUGAAUGAAACUUUUAAAUUCCUUAUAUUUAAAAUAAAG